Stylophora pistillata is the source of this 524-nucleotide long non-coding RNA. The record is from RefSeq and is a predicted model, not a curated record. NCBI's taxonomy places the organism in Eukaryota, Metazoa, Cnidaria, Anthozoa, Scleractinia, Pocilloporidae.
CGACAUUGAAUUGUCCGCCGUUGAUGGCAGAAGAGAUGUUGUAGAGAAAUACUUUUCCCCAGGUGGAGUGCCGGUUGAUGUUCGUAAUGCUGGGUCAAAAGAUAUCCAAAAGGGACCCCAUGGCUUGGUCAAAAAUACCCUGUUGAAAGGAGGUGACGAAUAUUUAGAAGUCAAAGAAGUUGAAUUCCCUCAUUCCUCAAGUAAGGGAGACCAUCAAAACAUCCCGUCAGCAGACGCGCGCCAGAAUGCGGCGCACCCUACUCCUACUGAAAGACUGAAGAUUGAAAUUAUCGAGAGACCAGAAUUACUAAAAGUGACGGUCGACAAGACACCCCAUAAGGAACAAUCACGGACAAAUAAAGAGAAAAAGGAAUCGAGAGAACCACAAAGGGAAAGUGAGAGUCAAUCAAUAACAAGCUCAGGCCUUCUCAUUGUGGACGAAGAUUGGGAUGAAAACUAUCCUGUGGAUGACGAGGAUUGGAGCAGUGAAAGUGCACAUGAUGUUGGUUCAGCUUCAACUUCAG